Molecule: ribosomal RNA, 253 nt
Filed under: uncultured bacterium
Lineage: Bacteria
Description: partial 16S ribosomal RNA
Rfam family: Bacterial small subunit ribosomal RNA
Source: RNAcentral
UACAGAGGUGGCAAGCGUUGUUCGGAAUUACUGGGCGUAAAGGGCGCGUAGGCGGUUCGUUAAGUCCUGUGUGAAAUCCCCCGGCUCAACUGGGGAACUGCACAGGAAACUAGCGGGCCUGAGUUCGGGAGAGGGAAGCGGAAUUCCGGGUGUAGCGGUGAAAUGCGUAGAUAUCAGGAGGAACACCAAUGGCGAAGGCAGCUCGCUGGGACGUGACUGACGCUGAGACGCGAAAGCCAGGGGAGCGAACGGG